UACGGGGGGGGCAAGCGUUGUUCGGAAUUACUGGGCGUAAAGGGCUCGUAGGCGGCCAACUAAGUCAGACGUGAAAUCCCUCGGCUUAACCGGGGAACUGCGUCUGAUACUGGAUGGCUUGAGUUUGGGAGAGGGAUGCGGAAUUCCAGGUGUAGCGGUGAAAUGCGUAGAUAUCUGGAGGAACACCAAUGGCGAAGGCAGCUCGCUGGGACGGUUACUGACGCUGAGACGCGAAAGCGUGGGGAGCAAACAGG
Molecule: ribosomal RNA, 254 nt
Filed under: uncultured bacterium
Lineage: Bacteria
Description: partial 16S ribosomal RNA
Rfam family: Bacterial small subunit ribosomal RNA
Source: RNAcentral